CGUGUAGGCGGUCCGCUAAGUCUGAUGUGAAAGCCCGGGGCUCACCCCCGGAAGUGCACUGGAAACUGGCGGACUCGAGUCCCGGAGAGGAGGGUGGAAUUCCUGGUGUAGCGGUGAAAUGCGUAGAUAUCAGGAGGAACACCGGUGGCGAAGGCGGCCCUCUGGACGGUGACUGACGCUGAGACGCGAAAGCGUGGGGAGCAAACA
Molecule: ribosomal RNA, 207 nt
Filed under: uncultured bacterium
Lineage: Bacteria
Description: partial 16S ribosomal RNA
Rfam family: Bacterial small subunit ribosomal RNA
Source: RNAcentral